CUCCCUUUUCCCAUAGAGAAGCUCUCCUUUUCUUCUUUUCCUAAAUAAUUUAGUGAACUAUGGAAUUCUCUCCUCCCUUUUAAGUGAACUAAUCAUCCCAACUGGUCCCAGUUGUUUUUAGUUUGGUUUUCCUGAGAAUAAAGCUUGAAGCAAAGACUUAAGUGCAGGUAGGGAUAUGGAAGGGAUAGUGGAUGGUGGGUGUGCCGCUUAGAACUUCUGCAGGAAUACAGGGCUGGGAGGCAGGGCCAACAUGGCGGAGAAGUAGGUGGAUGCGAAGUUCCCUCGUCUCUCAAACACACCAGUGUUGAGGCCAAAGGACUUUGAACUCCAAGAGUCCAGGCAGCAAAGUGAUAGAGACGCUUCCAGGGACCCACUGGACAACCUGACGGGCGAUAGGUGUUGUUGAUUCCCAGAGCCCAAUAACAAACCCAACCUGCGAGUGCAGUUGCCAUGCAGGGUCUGGGGGAGCAGAUGGAAGGCUAGCAUUUGGGAGCUGGAUCACCAUUGCCUGGAGGGCAGCGAGGACCGUGUUAAUAAAGGUAGGUGGAGUGGUGCAAGGUUUAAUGUGUGGGGGACUUGGGUUGUACACCAGUGGACAAGAAUGGAUUAGCUGGUGCAAUGUAUGAGCAUUCGAGAAAUAAUGAGGUAAACAGUAGCCAUGAAGGCAGUGGAAUUAGGUAGCUGUUGUUAAGUGUUGGUUUGUGGCCCCUCCACCCAGAGAGACUGCCAGGCUCUGUUGGUGCAUCUACUCUUUCUGUUCUGGUCAGAAACUGCCUCUGUGUAGUAAGCUGGUAUGAUAGGAGGGCUCAUCUGGCUUUUCUUUUCUCAGUUACCGCAGUCCUGUGUUGCCUGUUAUCUGAUUUCUGAAAACUGAUGUUCCUAUGUUUUGUCUGGGUUUCCAAGUUUAAGGUAGGAGGGUAAAUCUAGGCCCUGUUAUUCCAUCUUGUCAAAGAGUGUAAGUCCUUUCUUCUUCUUCUUCUUCUUCUUUUUUAACUUACCACUUUAUCAACACAAAGGAUUGUAAAUGAAAAAAUAAAAUGCUUGGUGGCUGAGGUGAGGGACA
This 1063-nucleotide long non-coding RNA is filed under the name Felis catus (domestic cat). RNAcentral's name for it is "lncRNA (ENSFCAG00000052417.1)". Lineage: Eukaryota; Metazoa; Chordata; Mammalia; Carnivora; Felidae. The record is from RNAcentral.